Lycium ferocissimum is the source of this 359-nucleotide long non-coding RNA. RefSeq lists it as uncharacterized. The record is from RefSeq and is a predicted model, not a curated record. NCBI's taxonomy places the organism in Eukaryota, Viridiplantae, Streptophyta, Magnoliopsida, Solanales, Solanaceae. The transcript has 2 exons.
AAAAAAUAUUUUUUUGAUAAGGUGAAUCAAUGAUUAAUAUGGGUAUGAGAAAAAAAUAGAAAUUUGAGUAAAAAUGAACCAAAAAAUGAUUUUUUUUGAUAAGGUGAAUCAAGAACAUAUAUGGGUAUGAGAAAAAACUAGAAAUUUGAGAAAAAGUGAACCAAAAAAUGAUUUUUUUUUUUUUGACAAGUUGAAUCAAGAAUCUAUAUGGGUAUGAGAAAAAGUGAACCAAAAAUUACUUUUUUGGUAAAUUGGAUCAAGAAUCUAUAUGGGUAUGAGAAAAAGUGAACCAAAAAAUUAUUUUUUUGAUAAGUUGAAUCAAGAAUCUAUAUUGGUAUGAGAAAAAGUGAACCAAAAAU